UUUACUUUGUCAAGAGACCAGAGCGAACGGUUCAUUGUCUGUUGUGCGGCGAAUUUCUCUCAAGCUCUAAGCGAAAAUGAGUGACAAACCAGACGUGUCCGAGGUAACCAAGUUCGAUAAAGGGAAGUUGAAGCACACCGAGACCCAGGAGAAAAAUCCUCUCCCAACGAAAGAAACAAUCGAGCAAGAGAAGAAAGGUUGACCCAGGAAAUUAUUUAAAACCCACUAGCAAGUUUGAUGUUACUCAAGAAUUUUGAUGUCUUCAUUUGUGUUUGCCUCUGCCUAGAAGAAGUUGUGCGUUUAUAGAGAAAUUAGAUGGAUAGCUGACUGUUUGUAAAGCCUCGGAUCGUCGCAUAAUUAUUUGAAGCAAAACCCACCUCGCUUUCCGAUCUGCGGUUUACAAUACAAGAUGCUAAUGUAUUCGCUUACACUUUCGUUGGGUAUAGACAAACAUAAUUGUAGUAAAAUAUUUUUGCACAAUUUAAAAAUAAACAGUUGAAUAUUGAA
Molecule: long non-coding RNA, 507 nt
Filed under: Orbicella faveolata
Lineage: Eukaryota; Metazoa; Cnidaria; Anthozoa; Scleractinia; Merulinidae
Description: uncharacterized LOC110042989, transcript variant X1
Source: RNAcentral